CGCGCAGGGCCGCAGAGCCGCAGGACUAACCUGGCUUGCGCCCUGCAGCCCCGGGCUCGCCCGGCGGCCCCGCCCCCUCCCCUGCCGGGGCUUUUCCUGCGGAGCUCAGGAAGCCGGCCUAGCACAGCCUCGGGACUUGGGCUCCGCUCCCAGGGAGGCCGGCGCGGGGCCGCUGGGACAGGGGUUGUCGGCGCCGCUGGGGGCCCGCAGCCAGCCCUCGGCCCGGGCCGGAGCUUCAGUUCAGGUCGGCGCUCCAGGGGUCUUUGUUGGCCGCGACUGAGGGAGCGGGAGCCGGGGGAGGAGCUGGGGAGGCGGCGGCUGGAGCCGGAGAGUGGGAGCCAGCGAGCGGAGUAGGGAGCGAGCGCGCGGAGUUGGGAGCGAGGAGGGUGGGAGGGAGGAGAAAAAGUAAAUAGGAGAGAGCGAAACAAGGCUGAACAGGCAGACGGGCGGGCAUUAGAGCCAGCUGCUGCUGCUGGGGGAGAGCGGGAGUUCAGGCAGCUCGCACCCCAGCCCCGGGCCAGGGCCACAUCCAGACAGCAGGCGGCCAGCGCCCUGGGGAAGCGGUACCGUGGGGGAGCCGGCAGCAGGCCCUCCGCGCGCCUCCGCCUGAGGGAGGCUCGGCGUCCUCUGCCCCAGCCCUGCCGCCCAGCGCCUGCCCUCGAAGCCCCGCGGCCGCCCGCGCCCUCCUCCCAUCAGUGGCCUAGCAGCCCUCGGCCCAAGGCUUCUCCGGCCCCUGGCUGCCCGCGGACGCCCUCCCACAGUCAUGAACCCCCAUGAGUGAGCAGCGGAGGAAGGAGGAGCGGCCGACUCGGACGUGGACGGCUUUUUUCGGACAGCUCCUCCAACUCCCAGACUGUGUGGUUCUGCACAACAGUGAAGAAAAUAUUGAGGAACCGAAACAAGCUGAGGCAGGUAAGUCCCACCCCCUCCUCCACUCAGAUGCCGGAGGCCUGACACCAGUUAGGCUGGUGUACCUGCAGCAUUCUGCCCUGGGUUUGCCUUUGAUCCCACCCCUGCAGUCUAGCCACCAGGAAACAAAAAAUCUCCUCUCUGGGUUUUCUAAGCCUUACCUUUUGGUUCAGGGCAGAUCAGAACCCAGGAAACCCUGAACUCCAGAUAGGCAUCUGAAGGGAGAGGUGUCUCCACUCUGCCUCCAGCUCAGGUCCUCAGAACUACGCUUUGCCCUCACCUCACCUGACUGGUGCAGCACAUCCAGCCUCGUGCUCCUUGUUUUCUGGACAGUUUCCUUUUGUUGUGUUUGAUUUCCUUCUCUCAAGUAGUCAUUCAGUUUCCACAGUGAAUCCUGACUGGCACGCUAGAGUAUACACAGGCCUGAACACAUACUUGAAAGGUUGUGCCUCUCUUGCCUCCUGUUCCAGCUUCCUACCAUCCAAACUACACAAAUCAGCAAGUACCUCUUCCAAAUUUGUUUUUUUAGUGAACAGGGUCUCACUCUGUUGCCCAAGCUACAGUGCAGUGGUACAGUCAUAGCUCACUGCAGCCUCCUACUCCUGGGCUCAAGUGAUCCUCCCACCUCAGCCUCCCAAAUAGUUGGGACUACAGGUGCAUGCCACUACACCCAGCUAAUUAUUAAACUUUUUGUCGAGAUGGGAUCUCACUAUGUUGCCCAGGCUGGUCCUGAACUCCUGGGCUCAAGUGAUGCUCUUGACCCAAAGCGCUGGGA
Long non-coding RNA from Piliocolobus tephrosceles (Ugandan red Colobus), 1684 nucleotides. Lineage: Eukaryota; Metazoa; Chordata; Mammalia; Primates; Cercopithecidae. The record is from Ensembl.